Long non-coding RNA from Clupea harengus (Atlantic herring), 648 nucleotides. The record is from Ensembl. Lineage: Eukaryota; Metazoa; Chordata; Actinopteri; Clupeiformes; Clupeidae.
GACUCCCUCUAACUCCUUUCCUCUCUCCCUCCUCCUCCUCCUCAUCUCUCCCUCCUCCUCAUCUCUCCCUCCUCCUCCUCCUCUCGUACUGGUCCUGUGCUCUCCCCGUGGUGAGGCAGUCCGGCGGAGCGAGAGCGAGAGCGAGUGUGUGUGUGUGUGUGUGUGUGUGCGUUCCUGUUCCUGUAUCAGCGCUGGGAUACCAGUCAGCAGCAUGAAACCUUGAAUCCGAUCGAGACUGGACACAGUGUAACAGGCAACACGGCAACAGAGUGUGACUGCUGCAAAGAGAUGUGGAGUGUGUGAGCGCGCAACAACAGCAGUUACUGAACACACCUUCUCCCCACAUACUCGUGAAGGUUCACUGGACACAGCACACAACAGACCAGCGUUUGAACAGCACAGACACGGCUGCCAUAUCUGAGGGUGCCGCGACCUACAGCUCAUCCGUCUGUACAUGGAGACCACGAGCUGGGCAGUGUGUAAGUCGGGCACCAUUGCUGUGUUUGGAAACGUGGUGUACGGUGACCUGCUGACGGAUCUGACUGACUUCUGCCACUUUGGAGUUCCACUCGUCACAAGACUGAGUUCUGCUUCCCGUCCGCUGAGCGAGAAGAGAAGAACGUCGGACACACACUGCCUUAGGAACCG